UGCGUAGGCGGAAUAAUAAGUCAGUGGUGAAAUCCUGCGGCUCAACCGUAGAACUGCCAUUGAUACUGUUAUUCUUGAAUUUAGUUGAGGUAGGCGGAAUGUGUAAUGUAGCGGUGAAAUGCUUAGAUAUUACACAGAACACCGAUUGCGAAGGCAGCUUGCUAAACUAUUAUUGACGCUGAGGCACGAAAGCGUGGGGAGCGAACAGGAUUAGAUACCCUGGUAGUCC
RNAcentral lists this ribosomal RNA (229 nucleotides) under uncultured bacterium. Its description in RNAcentral is "partial 16S ribosomal RNA". It matches the Rfam family "Bacterial small subunit ribosomal RNA", at positions 568 to 796 of the family's 1533-position model. The record is from RNAcentral.